This is a long non-coding RNA of Cyprinus carpio (common carp), 349 nucleotides long. RefSeq lists it as uncharacterized. NCBI's taxonomy places the organism in Eukaryota, Metazoa, Chordata, Actinopteri, Cypriniformes, Cyprinidae. The transcript is spliced from 3 exons. The record is from RefSeq and is a predicted model, not a curated record.
AUAAGGUAUAGUCAUUCUCUUCACUGCCGGACUUCACAAUCCAAGCAUCACUGACAGUGAAUUGUGGAAAAAGAUGGCCUUAUUCACUAUGUUAAUUAUUUUUUAGCUUGUCUGCAUGUUGACAGUUUAAGGGGUGCUGUUGGUUCUACACAGAUAGACUGUGUACAUGGUAGCAGUAGAAAUCUAGGCAGGGUCGAUUAGGGAUAUGGAGGAGGAGUUCUAGAGACUAUCACUAAUAUCAGCCCGGAUGAUCGUCUAGUUCUGGAGCCAUAUCUCAGUGCCGUUGCUAUAAAAUAUUUGGAGCUGGUUUACACUGCUGGAAGCUCAACCGCUACUGUACGUAUCAUCA